RNAcentral lists this long non-coding RNA (225 nucleotides) under Elaeis guineensis (African oil palm). RNAcentral describes it as "long non-coding RNA (EGUI_LNC001330)". Lineage: Eukaryota; Viridiplantae; Streptophyta; Magnoliopsida; Arecales; Arecaceae. The record is from RNAcentral.
GCUGGAACUGGAUGUCAUCUGUAAUUCGAGAUAUCAAAGAGAACCUACAAAAAAAGUCCGUACUCUUUGGAAGUUUUCCGGUGAGAAUCCCUUUGAUAUUAAAGUUAUCCUCCUUGAAGAUCCCCUUCACACCUCUUUUAUAAAAAGGUAGUGCAGUAGGUCACUAGCCAGAAUCUGUUGAUGCUCUAGGCCCUUAGGCCAUGCUUUAAUAGUUUAUUGGAGAGG